AGCUUAUUGAAUUUAUAAUAAGUAUUUUCUGCCCGGUGAUUUUUUAACGGCCGCGGUAUAUUGACCGUGCAAAGGUAGCAUAAUCAUUUGUCUAUUAAUUGUAGACUGGAAUGAAUGGAUUUACGUGAAAAUACUUGUCUCUUUUCUUUUUUUUGAAUUUUCUUUUUAGAUGAAGAAGUCUAUAUUUUAUUAAGGGACGAGAAGACCCUAUUGAGUUUUAUUCUUUCUAUUUAAUUUUUAAUUUUCUUUAUUUAGAUUGGAUUUAGUUGGGGCAACUAAGGAGGAUAAAAAUUCUCUUUUAAAAAUUUUUGAUCCAGUAUUAUUGAUUUUAAGAAUUAAUUACCAUAGGGAUAACAGCGUUAUUUUCUUAGAGAGUUCUUAUCGAUAAGAAAGAUUGCGACCUCGAUGUUGGACUAAAAUAUCCUAAAGGUGUAGGUGCUUUUAAGGGUGGGUCUGUUCGACCUUUAAAAUUUU
This 474-nucleotide ribosomal RNA is filed under the name Nemertea sp. RCMB0315. RNAcentral describes it as "partial 16S ribosomal RNA". It matches the Rfam family "Bacterial large subunit ribosomal RNA", at positions 1831 to 2597 of the family's 2925-position model. The record is from RNAcentral. Lineage: Eukaryota; Metazoa; Nemertea.